RNAcentral lists this ribosomal RNA (183 nucleotides) under Macaca fascicularis (crab-eating macaque). Its description in RNAcentral is "partial 12S ribosomal RNA". It matches the Rfam family "Bacterial small subunit ribosomal RNA", at positions 1325 to 1533 of the family's 1533-position model. Lineage: Eukaryota; Metazoa; Chordata; Mammalia; Primates; Cercopithecidae. The record is from RNAcentral.
GGAGGAUUUAGCAGUAAAUUAAGAGUAGAGUGCUUAAUUGAACCAGGCCAUAAAGCGCGCACACACCGCCCGUCACUCCUCUCAAAUAUAUUUAAGGAAUAUCCUAACUAAACGCCCUAAUAUUUAUAUAGAGAGGAUAAGUCGUAACAUGGUAAGCGUACUGGAAGGUGCGCUUGGAUAAAU